RNAcentral lists this ribosomal RNA (425 nucleotides) under uncultured bacterium. Its description in RNAcentral is "partial 16S ribosomal RNA". It matches the Rfam family "Bacterial small subunit ribosomal RNA", at positions 354 to 796 of the family's 1533-position model. The record is from RNAcentral.
GUGGGGAAUAUUGGACAAUGGGCGAAAGCCUGAUCCAGCAAUGCCGCGUGAGUGAUGAAGGCCCUAGGGUUGUAAAGCUCUUUUACCCGGGAUGAUAAUGACAGUACCGGGAGAAUAAGCUCCGGCUAACUCCGUGCCAGCAGCCGCGGUAAUACGGAGGGAGCUAGCGUUGUUCGGAAUUACUGGGCGUAAAGCGCGCGUAGGCGGUUUUUUAAGUCAGAGGUGAAAGCCCGGGGCUCAACCCCGGAAUUGCCUUUGAAACUGGAAAACUUGAAUCUUGGAGAGGUCAGUGGAAUUCCGAGUGUAGAGGUGAAAUUCGUAGAUAUUCGGAAGAACACCAGUGGCGAAGGCGACUGACUGGACAAGUAUUGACGCUGAGGUGCGAAAGCGUGGGGAGCAAACAGGAUUAGAAACCCCGGUAGUCC